Molecule: ribosomal RNA, 468 nt
Filed under: uncultured bacterium
Lineage: Bacteria
Description: partial 16S ribosomal RNA
Rfam family: Bacterial small subunit ribosomal RNA
Source: RNAcentral
GACGAACGCUGGCGGCGUGCUUAACACAUGCAAGUCGAACGGAAAGGCCCUGCUUUUGUGGGGUGCUCGAGUGGCGAACGGGGGAGUAAAACGUGAGUAACCUGCCCUUGUCUUUGGGGUAACUUCAGGAAAAUGGGGCUAUUACAGGAUAGGAGCUCCUGCUGCAUGGUGGGGGUUGGAAAGUUUCGGCGGUUGGGGAUGGACUCGCGGCUUAUCAGCUUGUUGGUGGGGUAGUGGCUUACCAAGGCUUUGACGGGUAGCCGGCCUGAGAGGGUGACCGGCCACAUUGGGACUGAGAUACGGCCCAGACGCCUACGGGAGGCAGCAGGGGGGAAUAUUGCACAAUGGGCGGAAGUCUGAUGCAGCAACGCCGCGUGCGGGAUGACGGCCUUCGGGGUGUAAACCGCUUUCGACUGUGACGUAGCGUGAGUGACGGUAAUGGGUAAAGAAGCACCGGCUAACUACGUG